Oncorhynchus tshawytscha (Chinook salmon) is the source of this 130-nucleotide long non-coding RNA. RefSeq lists it as uncharacterized. The record is from RefSeq and is a predicted model, not a curated record. NCBI's taxonomy places the organism in Eukaryota, Metazoa, Chordata, Actinopteri, Salmoniformes, Salmonidae. The transcript has 2 exons.
AUAUAGACUGCUCUCAGAACAUGACAUGCCAAUAGGAGUAGGUUAUACAGCACAAACAGAUCUGGGAACAGGCUUGUCCUGAGACAUGGUUGUAGACUCCUAUGGUAUCUAAAAGAAGGUUAUGCAGCAC